CGUAGGCAGUUGGUGUGGUAUUAGUCAAAGCCACUGACCUGAGAGCAUCAAAGGAUCAGGGGCUAUGGACGAUGUUCAAGAGUACCCAACGUACAUACGGUACCUGGGAUACCAUGACUUUCAAAGCUUCAAGAAGUACAGAGUAUGCCAAGGGAAUAAAGGACUUGAAGUUUUUGAAGUCAUUGAUGGGAGUGAAAUACCUGAAGAAAGAAUAUGUGGAGAACAAGUUUAUAUUUCUGAAGGAGAGAUGAUUAAAUCUGGAGAAAAACGCAAGGAAGAUAGGAAACACGGGGAGAAAUACUUGGGAAUGACAGCCAGAUUAGAAAAAGAGUCAGCCAAGUUCCCAAACAAAAAUGACAAUACUCAAGUGAAGAACGAGACUACUGCAUUUCUAGAUUCUAUAUUUGGUGAGUUACCUCCAAAGUCUACAAUCAAGAUAAAUCUCCUCUUCCCCAAACCUUCAUUUCCCAAUCAGAGAAAGAGCUACUUCAAAAUGUCUGUCUAAAGAAGGGGAUAAAAUGUGGGGAUUUCGUGGAGCCAGGGAUUCUGGGAGCAACAUCACUUCUUCUGGCACUGAACGACUUAUCAUUUGUGUUUCCUACAUACCUCUGCACCUCUAAAACGUGAAUUAAAAACUGUCAUCCUCAA
This is a non-coding RNA of Monodelphis domestica (gray short-tailed opossum), 648 nucleotides long. The record is from RefSeq and is a predicted model, not a curated record. NCBI's taxonomy places the organism in Eukaryota, Metazoa, Chordata, Mammalia, Didelphimorphia, Didelphidae.